This 494-nucleotide ribosomal RNA is filed under the name uncultured bacterium. RNAcentral's name for it is "partial 16S ribosomal RNA". It matches the Rfam family "Bacterial small subunit ribosomal RNA", at positions 28 to 507 of the family's 1533-position model. The record is from RNAcentral.
GACGAACGCUGGCGGCGUGCUUAACACAUGCAAGUCGAACGGAAAGGCCUGCUUUCCCUUGUGGAUUGCGGGUACUCGAGUGGCGAACGGGUGAGUAACACGUGAGUGAUCUGCCCCCAACUUGGGUAUAAGCCUGGGAAACUGGGUCUAAUUCCCGAUAGGACUGCAGGGUGGUGCCUGUGGUGGAAAACGAUUUUCUAGUGGUUGGGGAUGAGCUCGCGGCCUAUCAGCUUGUUGGUGGGGUAAUGGCCUACCAAGGCGGCGACGGGUAGCCGGCCUGAGAGGGUGGACGGGCACAUUGAGACUGAGAGACGGCCCAGACACCUACGGGAGGCAGCAGUGGGGAAUGAUGCACAAUGGGCGGAAGCCUGAUGCAGCGACGCCGCGUGGGGGAUGACGGCCUUCGGGUAGUAAACUCCUUUCGACCGCGAGGAAGCCACCUGGUUGGAAGGGUGGUGACGGUAGUGUUAGAAGAAGCACCGGCUAACUACGUG